This 1889-nucleotide long non-coding RNA is filed under the name Helianthus annuus (common sunflower). Its description in RNAcentral is "hypothetical non coding rna". The record is from RNAcentral. Lineage: Eukaryota; Viridiplantae; Streptophyta; Magnoliopsida; Asterales; Asteraceae.
GCCACAUAUAAAAAAUUGUGUGACCAAAUAAUAUACAUUAGCCACAUAUAUCUAAACUUUAAAUCAUCUCACAACUGUAAACUGUUCCCACCUCAUACCAUAUCUGUUCCUGGUUCCGAUUCGAGAAGAUCGACUAUGUGAAUCCUUUUAUCUAUGUGAUUAGUGUUAGUUUCUCAAACGUGUUAUAUAUUUGUUCCCUCCAUACGGAGACUACAUGGAUUGGAUAUGAAAAGUUGAGUUCGAGUGAUGCAGAUCUGAGGGUUGGUUCUAAUUGCAGACUACAUGGAUUGGAAUUUCCGGUGAUUUCGCCUCAUAGUGCGACCGGAAAAGGAACCACACCGAGGACAGCGAUGUUGACUCUUUUCGGGACUCAAGUAGUGAUUACGACCUCCCAAAGAGUGAAAUUUUUCAGUUGUUGGAUCAGUCGUCGUUAAAUUACCAACACGCCCUUCAAUAAGGCUUCUCUAGUGAUGAGGGUGAAUCAGCAAGACCUCAAAGUUGUCUUUCAUUCGAGUAUUUGGAGCGCAAUCAACCUUGAGGUCGGGAACUAGGGGGGACAAUCCUGACCCUAAUGCAUCAAUAUGGGUCAAUAUGGGUCUUUUAUAAACUGUUAUGGGUGGUUUUGGGUAAUGUUUUUAUAGUCAAAGGGUUAGACCGGGUCAAUUAAUACAUGCAAAAACUAAUCUACGGGUCAAAUUGGGUUGGCAAAGUUAAAUCCACGGGUCAUUUAGGGUUGCGAAACAACCCACGGGUGAACAAAAUCCCACAUUGAUCAGAUGAUUCAAAUAUCGAGCAAUAAGAUUCCGGGCGGAUUUCACCAGUCAACAGUUACUCAGCAGGCAAUCAACAUGAGCAUACGCCUGUUAUGAAUCCUGGGAGAGACAGGUCCUCUAAAAAUCUCAUUACCUGUAUUUGUUCUUGCUUCAUACAAGUUAAAAGAACCUCUAUGGAUCAACAAUGAAGGCGAAUUGCUGACGGAUCUAUUGCAGGCAGCCGACAGUGGGUUGGCAAAUCUUCAGGUCAAUCACCUUCAUUUGGUUCAUGUCUGCUGACCUGGACAGCCUAGUUGAAACUCAAAUGGUUGUAUUAUUUUUCAAAAGUUCCUUAGGAACGUGAGUACCCUGGAAACACAAGAAUCGAAGUGGUGAAACCCGCCAGCAGAAGAAGUGUUUUUGUUCAAACUGAGACAGGUUGUGUGUUAAUUAAGGAUGGAGCUAGGUCGAAUUGAUAGUGCCACACAUGGAUAACGACAUCCGCAAAACUGCAAUGGAGUUUCUACCUUUGAGUAAUCCACACAUCUUUCUAAACAAACUCUAGUACAAGGAUGAAAACAAAGGAGAUGCAGGAGACCCAUCUUCUUGUAAGAAGAUAGCAUACUAAGAGAACCUGCUUCAACUAAGGUCCAUGCUUCCUAAAGACGAUCUAGAAAUGAGAUAAUAAAAUAUUUGAGAUGCUAUCCUUCGUCAGAAUAUUCGCCCAAAGGCGAACAAGUUGCCGGUAGGACCACGCGUUGUGAGAAAACUGGAUUUUCCAAGAUGCACUUACGAUGAAAAUUUACCAAUCACAAAGAACCUGAACGCAACAGGAUGUUUCUAAAAAAGUGUUGAAGACAUGCCAUGCUUUAUCAUCUGAUCAUAGUUCUUGCAGCACUUUCAAGUCGAAAAGUACGAGUAUAUAAGCAUGAAGAAUAAAUCUAUAAAUAGUUUUUAGUUUAUGUUUAUUGUCAUUUCUCUUUUCAACUUUUGUAGAUAGAUUUUAUCAGAAGUUUGUUAUUAGUACUUAAGUUGAAAACUUAUGUAUGAAUUUUGGUUAAUAUUAGUUGGUUUUAGGUUUUUCUCAUGCUGACAACUGUUUUUAUUUUACAAAAAGUUGAAAAUAAAAUAGCUAAU